This 1357-nucleotide unclassified non-coding RNA is filed under the name uncultured fungus. RNAcentral describes it as "sequence contains 18S rRNA gene, ITS1, 5.8S rRNA gene, ITS2, 28S rRNA gene". The record is from RNAcentral. Lineage: Eukaryota; Fungi.
AGUCAUCGAACGGCGGGGUAUUCGCUUCGUCAUUCGACCCGAAGAGAGCCCGAGGCGGCGCGGCCGGCAGAAAAUGAUCGACCAUGUCGACCCUGACGUCGCUCGGGGCCAGUGGACGUGGGAACUGACCGCGGCGGGGCUCGAAUUCAGAGGCGGGCGGCCGAGGAAGUGAUCCUGCUCGACACCAAUGCGGUGAUCUGGCUGCAUCAGCGGGACCGCCGGACGAAACGGCUCGAGAAAAAUCUGACCUUGUACGCGUCGCCGGCCAGCCUCCUCGAGUUACAAAUCCUGGUCGAGGCGGGGCGUUUGCGCCUCCGGUCCGGGUUCCGGGUCGACCAGCUCGUCGGCGAUUCGCGGUUGCUCCUGGACGAUCCACCGGCGGCCGACUGGUUUGCUCAAGCGGUCGACGUUGGCUGGACACGCGAUCCCUUCGACCGACUGAUCGUGGCGCACGCCGAGCUUCGCGGCUGGCGUCUCGCGACGGGCGAUUCGGAGCUCGUCACUAGGCUUGGCGAGCACCGGACUCUGGACCUUUCGUGAACGCGAGAGACGGAAAAGGGUCCGCAGGCCGCGCUCGUCAUCACCAAGACCGGAUGGAACGUUAACCGCCUCCGCGACGGUAAGCGAGCGCACUCCCGUCUGCGCCUCGAUGAUGGGUCCUACCAAUCCACGUGCAUGCCGAGCUUGAUCAGCCUUCCGCGCUGGAUGCCGUUGACCGCCCCAUAGCUGGGUCCGAGAAUAGACGAGCGCGCGAUGAUUGUGGCCGAGUUUGCAAGGUUAUAGAUAUCCAGACGCGGCUGGUACACCUUACCGCCAGCCCUGAAGGGCAUCCGGAAGCUCAUGUCGAGCUGAUUCAGAUCCGGCAGACGCGUCGUCCCACGCGGCUCGGUCGUGACGUUCGUGGUCCCUUGCGUCAACGCCACGGUAUUGCUGCCGACCGACACCUGCGUCAGCUCGGGAAAUCCUUUCUGGUGCUGGAACGUGCCGCUCAUCGAUAUGCCCAGCGGUAGGUCGUACAGCCCCGAGAGGCGGAACGAAAACGGCGUAUCGUUCCCGACGAUCCCACGAGCGAACUCCAUCGAGUUCGGGUUGUUCAGGUCGGUAUUGCCGACGUAGCCAGUGGUCUCGCCGAUGCUGACGCCGCCGGUCAUCAUCCAGCCAUUGCUCAUCCGCUUGUUGAGUGAAAUAUCCGUGCCGUUGUAGGUGCUGUCGAGCUCGGGCGCGUUUGUCCAGACGAGGUCCUGCCGCCCGCGCAAAGCGGGCGAUUGGUUGUAGACCGUCACAGGGACGCCGCUGCUGGCCUCGACGACGUUCAACGGAAUGUACGUGUCCAUCGGGACCGCGAUGUUACGAGAAC